CACCACUGUUGCCCUCACACAGGUUAACUCGGAAGACAAAGGUGCUUUGGCUAAGCUGGUGGAAGCCAUCAGGACCAAUUACAAGGACAGAUAUGAUAAGAUCUGCCAUCGCUGGGGAGGCAAUGUCCUGGGUUCCCGGGACAUUGUGUCUUGCAUCGUCAAGCUUGAAAAGGCAGAGGCUAAAGAACUUGCCACUAAACUGGGUUAAGUGUACACUGUUGAGUUUUCUGUACAUAAAAAUAAUUAAAACAAUACAAAUUUUCCUUCAAAAAAAAAAAAGAAAUUAACAUAUGCUAAAGCUAUUCUGGAUAUCUUUAGAAAAAACAGGAAAUAGGCCUUAAGAAGUUUAUCAAUUAAGGAACCACAAAUGAAAAAAAAUCGUUUAUUUAAAAAAAUCAAUAUUUGAAUUGCAAUCUGAUGAUUUUUCUAAUAACCUGGAAGAUAAUGGCAAUACAGAGAAGAAACACUUCAUUCAGAAGAUACUCUCUCUCUUUCCUGCUGCCUUAUGAAGAAGGUGCCUGGUUCUCCUUUGCUUUCUGCCAUGAUUGUAAAUUUCCUGAGGCCUCCCCAGCCAUGUGGAACUGUCACCACCCUGGAAAUGAAGAGGCCAAGCUCAUCCCCCACUGCAAAUGGCUUGAAAUUCCUGAGACUCCACCCAUUCCUCCCAGUGCACAGGUGGGCAUUGCUCAGAGAGAAUAG
RNAcentral lists this long non-coding RNA (699 nucleotides) under Callithrix jacchus (white-tufted-ear marmoset). RNAcentral's name for it is "lncRNA (ENSCJAG00000072527.1)". Lineage: Eukaryota; Metazoa; Chordata; Mammalia; Primates; Cebidae. The record is from RNAcentral.